ACAUUUAACACUCGACCAAAUGCGUACUCUCUCACUUUUUCAUACCCCACAACCAAAACGACGGUGAAAUCGGUCCUAUCUUAUUACCAGAGUCGGCCAAAUGGAUUACCUUAUUCUGAUAUAUAGACGUAUAUGUGUAACUCAGUGAAACAUAUCGUUGUUUACGUAUAGUGCUUACUGAGAACCUAGGGUUAGGGUUUUCAAAUAUAACAGUUCGGAUUUUUUAUGAUUAUUGAAUGUCAAUGAACCCUUUAAUUUUGAAAUGAAACAGGAAAAAAUGGAAAACGAAGAGAAUAAAAACACCGAGCAACGCGAGUCGUUUUCUGAAUUGGACGACUCGAAUUUAAGUGUAGGUGGAGAAAAGGUCGA
This 369-nucleotide long non-coding RNA is filed under the name Olea europaea subsp. europaea. The record is from RNAcentral. Lineage: Eukaryota; Viridiplantae; Streptophyta; Magnoliopsida; Lamiales; Oleaceae.